UGUAGGACCUGGCAACCAAAAGUAAUUCUUCUCGCCCUCUCCUUCUCCAUCGCCACCCUUUUCACCGCCUCUUUCAAGCCACGCGUCCGUAGAAAACCUCCCACUUUUGUCUCAAGAAUUUACUACUCCUGCAACUUCCGUCUCCAUUUUCAUUGGACCGUCCGCAUCCUGAUCAAAUGGAUCCUACGAGCUCAUGCCUUCAAGACCUGUAAGCAAUUGAUCUUCCUAACCUUUUCCCAUCUCAUAUAAUGUUUCGAGUUUUAAUGGUCACUGAUAUUAUAUGUAGUCAUUCACCUAAUUAAUA
This 304-nucleotide unclassified non-coding RNA is filed under the name Hevea brasiliensis (rubber tree). Lineage: Eukaryota; Viridiplantae; Streptophyta; Magnoliopsida; Malpighiales; Euphorbiaceae. The record is from RNAcentral.